GGACAGAGAGAGGCUUUGGACUCAGGAUAAGUCUUUUGCAAAUAUUUGGCCCCCCACUAUGGAGUGGGGAGAAAGUGUGAGACCCCAUGGGUGGGGCCAGUAGCCGCGGCUGACACGCCCUGUUGCACACAGCUCUGGGAAGGGCAGUUGCUAGCCUUCGGGCUUGUGAGAACCAGGACCCAGAAUAGGGUCUGCUUGGACGAGGGGGGCCCCACUGAGGAGCCCCACUGAUGAGUCCCAUCCCCAGGGAGCCUGCGCACAUGAUCCUGACCGUCGGAAACAAGGCAGAUGGAGUCCUGGUGGGAACGGAUGGAAGGUACUCUUCGAUGGCGGCCAGUUUCAGGUCCAGUGAGUAUGAGAAUGCCAAUGAGAAUGUGCCCGAGGAGGAAGGCAAGGUCCGCAGCACCCCGAUGUAAACUUCUCUGUGGCUCCAACCCCAAGACUCCCAGGCACAUGGGAUGGAUGCCCAGUGCUACCACCCAAGCCCCCUCCUUCUUUGUGUGGAAUCUGCAAUAGUGGGCUGACUCCCUCCAGCCCCAUGCCGGCCCUACUCGCCCUUGAAGUAUGGCCAGCCAAGGUUGGAGCUCAGACCGUGUCUAGGUUGGGGCUCGGCUGUGGCCCUGGGGUCUCCUGCUCAGCUCAGAAGAGCCUUCUGGAGAGGACAGUCAGCUGAGCACCUCCCAUCCUGCUCACACGUCCUUCCCCAUAACUAUGGAAAUGGCCCUAAUUUCUGUGAAAUAAAGACUUUUUGUAUUUCUGGGGCUGAGGCUCAGCAACCGCCCCUCAG
This 787-nucleotide small RNA is filed under the name Pan troglodytes (chimpanzee). Its description in RNAcentral is "processed transcript". Lineage: Eukaryota; Metazoa; Chordata; Mammalia; Primates; Hominidae. The record is from RNAcentral.